RNAcentral lists this long non-coding RNA (2771 nucleotides) under Homo sapiens (human). RNAcentral describes it as "HSALNT0237678". Lineage: Eukaryota; Metazoa; Chordata; Mammalia; Primates; Hominidae. The record is from RNAcentral.
GUGAGGUCGCUUCUUUACGGUUCUGUCCCCUAGGCCCCUUCCUUCCAUAAGACCUACUCAGGACUCCACUGGGCUGCUGACUACUCACCCUCCCCUCAGGUCAUCUCCUGACCCGUACACAGUUAUGUCCACCCAGGGUCUGCUUGGACACCUGUGCCUGAUGUUCACCAGGGGCCAGAUGUCGUCCUCAGGCCUGAUGUCCACCUAGGGCCUGAUGACUGCCUUGGCCUAUGUCCCUCUGGGGGCCUUGUGUUCACCUGGGGACUGUAUCCAGCUGGGGCCUGAUGGCCUACUGGGUCUUGUUGUUCACCUAAGGCCUUGUGUCCACCUGGGGACUGGUGAUCACCUGGGGCCUGGGUGUCCACCUGAGGCCAGAGGUGCACCUAAGGCCUGAGUUUUCACCUGGGCCUGAUGAUCACCUGGGGACUGGGUGUGUGCCUUGGGUCUUUUCCCUUUUCCUGAACAGGGCUUGCAGUUUCCAAACCAGACACAAUCUCCCAGUUGGAGAAAGAAAAAGGAUCCUAGAUGAUAGUGAGACAAAUUUCAGGAAACUCCAUCCAAAUAAGUAAAUGAGAAUGAGGACAGGAUUCAUUGUAAGUAACAUUCUCAGGUGGUGUUCCAAAGUUAUCUUUUGCCUGGGUACAGUGGCUCACACCUGUAAUCCCAGCUCUUUGGGAGCCCAAGGUGGGAGGAUCACUAGAGGCUAACAGUUUGAGACCAGCUUGGGCAAUGGAGUGAGACCCCCAUUCUGAAAAAAAAAAUUAAAAAAUUUAACAGGCAUGGUGGCAUGUGCCUGCAGUCCCAGCUACUCAAGAGGCUGAGGUGGGAGGAUCGCUUGAACUCAGGAGUUGAAGGCUGCAGUGGGUGAGGAUCACAACACUGAAUUCCAGCUGAGGUGACAGAAUGAGACCCUGUCUCUCUAAAAAACAAGCAAGCAAACAAACCAAAAACCACAGACAAACCAGACCCCUCUUAGCAGAAUACUUCCAUGAGGUAAUAAAAGCCAAAGCCACAAGAAAAGUCAAAUUCAUAUCUUUAAAUGCUUUCAUUAUCAAUCAAGAAAGAAGAAAGUGAAACGAACAAACAAUUUUACUCAAGAAACUAGUGAGAAAUCAAAGAAAUGUCCAAGAAGUAGGAGACAAGAAUUAAUCAAAACAGAUUAACAGUGGAAUAAAUAAAUGAAUCCAACUGGUUCUUUGUAAUGGAAUGUAGAAAGACAUACUCUAUUCUUCUGGAUAGGAAGAUGAAAUAUCAUAAUCAUAUCAAUGCAAGUUUUAUGCAUGCUCAAACAUGUAUAAACUAAGAAAAAAUCUGAAAGGACAGACAGCAAAAUGUUUGCAGUUUUUUUCCUCCAAGUGGUAAGAUUAAAGAACACAGACAAAAAUAGAAACUCCUCACAUGACCCACCACGAAGCCCAUCAGAUGGCAGAAUGCAGAAUCAGGUUGCAAUGGACUGAUCUUAAAACAGAUGAAGCAGUGGAGAAAAUCUUCCUGGAGCUGAUGGUAUAAUUUGCUUCUUGAAACAAUGACAGUCCAUGAAAUAAGGUGGGGAAGAUGUUUUGAACCUCUCUCAGCAGCAGAUCCCUAAAUCACAGACCCAGAACUUGGAGGAAACAGGAAACAGGAGGCCAUCUCUGCACCUCUCCAGCACUGCUCUGGUUGGUGGGCAGAAUAUCAUACAAUCAUCACGAUUCUUAUAUCAAAAACCAAAUUCUAGACUGAUUAAAUAAUUAUUUUUUUAAAUGAGAAAAGUUAUCGUUUAUUUGAUCUUGGGCUAGGGAAGAUAUUUCCAAGCAAAAAGGGUAAAAAGAAGGAAAAAGAAAUGAUUAACAGAUUGGAAGGCAAUAACAAUAUAAUAUCAAGUGCUGGCAAGAGCUCAGAGAAGUGUGUGUUCUCAUGACUGCUGGAACAAAUUGGUAUAAUAUUUCUGAAGGGCAAUCUGGCUGAAUAUGUUAGAAGUCUUUAAAAUAUUUAUACUCUGACUCAGUAAUUCAACAUCUAGAAAUUUUUCCUAAGUAAGUAAUAAGAAAGAGUUGAAAAAAGUAUUUGAAUAUUGAAAGACUGGAAAGAACAUAAAGGUUCAAUAAUACAUAUAUGUUCAACAACAGGGGACUAGUAAAUAUGAAUUAUUUAUAUGAUAAAAUACUAUCUAACCUUAAAAUAAUGUUUUAAAUAAUAUUUAAUGAUGAGAAUAUGCUGAGAAAAGUUUAAUCAUUUUAAAAAAGUUACAUGCAAAAUUAAAGUUAAUAACAUGUACAAGAUUAUUCUAAUUUUUUUUUUUUUUGAGAUGCAGUCUCACUGUUGUCACCUGGGCUGGAGUGCAAUGGAGUGAUCUCGGCUCACUGCAGCCUCCACCUCCCAGGUUCCAGCAAUUCUCCUGCCUCAGUCUCCUGAGCAGCUGAGAUUGUAGGCACCCGCCACCAUGCCCGGCUAAUUUUUGCAUUUUUAGUAGACACGGGGUUUCACCAUGUUGGUCAGGCUGGUCUCGAAUGCUGGCCUUGCUGGGGUGCCGUGGAGUGGGGCCCCGCCCUGGUGAGUUGUUCACUGGGACCACCUUUCUGGAAUGCUGGAAGGCGGCGUGGCAGGACCCACCGAAUGCCUUCAAAAGCCAGUGGUCCAUGCCUCUGUCUCCUUCGUUAGACUCUUCCAGAAGAGACUGGUCAGAGGUGCAGCACAGAUGAACCUACAAAGCUGUUCAUCAAAGCAUCACUUACAAUGGUGAAAAGGCAGAAGAAUCACUGAAUUCCACCAAGGUGGAGCAGCCGAGGAAA